CUUUGAAGGCUACAUGAAUACUGGAUAUUUAACAGCGGCCUAAUUGAGGAUGUAUUUGUUUAGCUCUUAUUUUAAGUCCGAUUUGAGUGUGUUUGUACCUCAAGAACAGUGAGGACCAGCUUCAUUCAAAGCUAACAGAGCGGAUCAGGAUUACAAGACUGAAACACAGCAGCGCUCGGCCAUGUCUAUCACUGUUCUUUUAAAGAAGAUAUAUAACCUGCCAGGGAAAUAUGACCGGAAAGUGGAAUUGUCUUUUAGAGGUUUUACUCACAAAACCAGGAUCCUUCAGUGUGAGAAUAUAGCCAUCUUCAAUGAGCACUUCAGAUGGCCUCACUAUGGGAAGGUUGAGAGGGAUGAAAUUCUGUCAAUCAGCAUCUACAACUGCAGUAAGAUGUUCAG
Molecule: long non-coding RNA, 399 nt
Organism: Onychostoma macrolepis
Lineage: Eukaryota; Metazoa; Chordata; Actinopteri; Cypriniformes; Cyprinidae
Exons: 3
Source: RefSeq, a predicted model, not a curated record